GUGGGAGGGGGCUUGCCCCCGAUAGCCGUGUGUCAGCCAGCUAAUAGGGGGCUGACACUACGCAAUCGGGGGCAAGCCCCCUCCCAC
RNAcentral lists this non-coding RNA (87 nucleotides) under Pseudomonas sp. SJZ103. The record is from RNAcentral. Lineage: Bacteria; Pseudomonadati; Pseudomonadota; Gammaproteobacteria; Pseudomonadales; Pseudomonadaceae.